GGAGAACAUACUGCAAGAGGAAAUUCCCAUCUCGCCACCCUUUUCAUCAAGCCUAUUAAGCUAAUGAUUUUAUUUUAACAAUGGCUUUCCCCACAGCCAGUCUGUCUUGGGUAUAGACUGCCAGACAUGGUUACUAAACACCCAGAGACUCAAACAAUUAUAGAAAAUGCUAUUUUUAAGUUCUCUUGUAUAGUCUCCUGGGCAAUGAGCCUGCUCACAUCAGACUCACAGAUUCCAGUAACUUCUGUUCCCACCAGUGUGAGCCUUGACUUCUUUAGGUAUCCUGGAUGCUUCCAAGCACGACUUGUGGAUCCCAGUGGGGAGCUGUCCUUCACGAGGUAUUGGAUAUUUUGUCCCAGUAAUGAGGAAGGUGACUAAGACAGUGGUGCUGCACCAGCAAGUGGAAUCAAUAUGCCUACAGCCUGGGGUAGCACACAGAGUAAAUUCUGGGUUGGAA
Molecule: long non-coding RNA, 457 nt
Filed under: Chinchilla lanigera (long-tailed chinchilla)
Lineage: Eukaryota; Metazoa; Chordata; Mammalia; Rodentia; Chinchillidae
Description: lncRNA (ENSCLAG00000026083.1)
Source: RNAcentral